CGCGGCCUAUCAGCUUGUUGGUGAGGUAAUGGCUUACCAAGGCUAUGACGGGUAUCUGGACUGAGAGGUCGAACAGACACAGGGGCACUGAGACACGGGCUCCACAUCUACGGAUGGCAGCAACCAGGAAUAUUGCGCAAUGGGGGAAACCCUGACGCAGCGACGCCGCGUGGAGGAUGAAGGCUUUAGGGUCGUAAACUCCUUUACUAAGCCCCUCACGGCUUAGAGAAUAAGCACCUACUAACUACGUGCCAGAAGUCUCGGUAAUACGUAGGGUGCAAGCGUUAUCCGGAUUUACUGGGCGUAAAGAGUGUGUAGGCGGUCUACCAAGUCGCAAUUUAAAGCCCGGGGCUUAACCCCGGGUUUGGUUGCGAUACUGGCUGACUCGAGGAUUAUUGGGGGUACUGGAACAGUUGGUGUAGUGGUGAAAUACGUUGAUAUCAACUGGAACACCGAAGGCGAAGGCAAGUACCUAUGAUUUUCCUGACGCUGAGACACGAAAGCUAGGGUAGCGAAACAGAUUAGAGACCUGUGUAGUCCUAGCCGUAAACGAUGGAUGCUAGCUAGUGUGCAAGCACUGGCGUAAGCUAACGCGUUAAGCACCCCGCCUGGGGAGUACGG
Molecule: ribosomal RNA, 621 nt
Filed under: uncultured Actinomycetes bacterium
Lineage: Bacteria; Bacillati; Actinomycetota; Actinomycetes
Description: bacterial SSU rRNA
Rfam family: Bacterial small subunit ribosomal RNA
Source: RNAcentral